This 292-nucleotide ribosomal RNA is filed under the name uncultured bacterium. RNAcentral's name for it is "partial 16S ribosomal RNA". It matches the Rfam family "Bacterial small subunit ribosomal RNA", at positions 335 to 643 of the family's 1533-position model. The record is from RNAcentral.
CUGCCCUACGGGAGGCAGCAGUGGGGAAUAUUGCACAAUGGGGGAAACCCUGAUGCAGCGACGCCGCGUGAGUGAAGAAGUAUCUCGGUACGUAAAGCCCUGUCAGCAGGGAAGAAAAUGACGGUACCUGAAGAAGAAGCCCCGGCUAACUACGUGCCAGCAGCCGCGGUAAUACGCAGGGGGCAAGCGUUAUCCGGAUUUACUGGGUGUAAAGGGGGCGCAGACGGCGAUGCAAGCCAGGAGUGAAAGCCCGGGGCCCAACCCCGGGACUGCUCUUGGAACUGCGUGGCUA